GGGAUUCGCGCCUCUUCGGCCAAGUCCUCCACGUCGGAAAGAAACUUGACUGCGUCGACGAUUUUCUCCAUUUUUUUAUUAUCGUCCACUCCCACCACCCGAGCUAUUUCUUUAGUUUUUUGAAAUAUCUCAUUGUGUAAGUGAUCACAUUCCUGGGCAUUUUCUUCCGUUUUGCAUUCUAAUUGAGCAGAUUCAACUGGGGAAAUGUCUGGGGGAUAAAGUCGUUGAGGUCAAGAUCUGGAAUUGCCUCGAGCCCUACACAUAAAGCGACAGCAGGGCUAAGAAUACACAUGAGUACUAAAGAAAUGGAAAUUCUAAGAAGAAAAAAAAAAGAAUAAUCUCAAUAAAUCCGUUCUAGUUCUUAGAGAGAUAAAUACUGAAAAAUCUGUCAAUAAAUGACGGACCGGACGAAGGAUAUUUGAACU
RNAcentral lists this long non-coding RNA (425 nucleotides) under Gossypium barbadense (sea-island cotton). Its description in RNAcentral is "long non-coding RNA (GBAR_LNC014537)". Lineage: Eukaryota; Viridiplantae; Streptophyta; Magnoliopsida; Malvales; Malvaceae. The record is from RNAcentral.